This 680-nucleotide long non-coding RNA is filed under the name Homo sapiens (human). RNAcentral's name for it is "non-protein coding lnc-ZNF644-1:22". The record is from RNAcentral. Lineage: Eukaryota; Metazoa; Chordata; Mammalia; Primates; Hominidae.
ACUGCAGGCUGGGGCUCCGCUCCCCGGCGGGAGCCCGCGCGUGGUUCCCAGCGAAGUCCCCGCGCGGCUGGGCCCAGCGUGAGUAUUCUCCGCCCGCUGUCCUCCCCCUGGAGGCGGCAGCGCCCGUUUAUUUGAGGAGGAUGAGGCUGUCACUACUACAGUUGGGACUGUUUCAUACUCCGUGCUCUUGUGCUAUGCCAGGGGGUACUGUCUAACCCACAAGUCUCUGCCAGGAAUGUUGCUGUCCACACUGGAGUGUAAGACACCUGCGGAGCUCGUCUAUGGGGCUCAUGUUGGCUGAGGCUCUGAACUACAGAACUGCAAACAACCAAGGGAGCGCCCCAGGCCCCAGGCUUCUAAUGUGAGGAAAAACACGGAAUGACAAGUGUGGGAAAGAGCAAGCACUAAAUUACUGUCAGAAAAAUAAACGGAGUAGCACAGUGCUGCUCGGUGAUUUACGGGGGCAAUUAGUCACCACCCCACGGCGCUGCUGAGGACAGCACGGCAGCAGACAAGUCAGGCCCAUGAGGAAGAAGAGGCUUUGCACUGCUCUCCAGACAACUUUUCAAACAACAAGAGAGGAUAUUUGAGCACAUUAGGUUUUGUGUCUUCAUUCUGGGUACCUACUCUUCAUAUUAUUCUACCAACUUAAUACAUAAACAUAUUUUUAGCACAAUAUG